AACGAACGCUGGCGGCAUGCCUAACACAUGCAAGUCGAACGAGACCUUCGGGUCUAGUGGCGCACGGGUACGUAACACGUGGGAAUCUGCCCUUUGCUUCGGAAUAACAGUUAGAAAUGAAUGCUCAUACCAGAUGAUGUCGAAAGACCAAAGAUUUAUCGGCACAGGAUGAGCGCGCGUAGGAUUCGGUGGUUGGUGGGGUAAAGGCCUACCAAGCCGACGAUCCUUAGCUGGUCUGAGAGGAUGAUCAGCCACACUGGGACUGAGGCACGGCCCAGACUGGGACGGGAGGGAGCAGUGGGGAAUAUUGGAGGAUGGGCGAAAGCCUGAUACAGCAAUGCCGCGUGAGUGAUGAAGGCCUUAGGGUUGUAAAGCUCUUUUACCAGGGAUGAUAAUGACAGUACCUGGAGAAUAAGCGCCGGCUAACUACGUG
RNAcentral lists this ribosomal RNA (433 nucleotides) under uncultured bacterium. RNAcentral's name for it is "partial 16S ribosomal RNA". It matches the Rfam family "Bacterial small subunit ribosomal RNA", at positions 29 to 507 of the family's 1533-position model. The record is from RNAcentral.